Molecule: transfer RNA, 72 nt
Organism: Ichthyophthirius multifiliis
Lineage: Eukaryota; Ciliophora; Oligohymenophorea; Hymenostomatida
Rfam family: tRNA
About the family: Transfer RNA (tRNA) molecules are approximately 80 nucleotides in length. Their secondary structure includes four short double-helical elements and three loops (D, anti-codon, and T loops). Further hydrogen bonds mediate the characteristic L-shaped molecular structure. tRNAs have two regions of fundamental functional importance: the anti-codon, which is responsible for specific mRNA codon recognition, and the 3' end, to which the tRNAs corresponding amino acid is attached (by aminoacyl-tRNA synthetases). tRNAs cope with the degeneracy of the genetic code in two manners: having more than one tRNA (with a specific anti-codon) for a particular amino acid; and 'wobble' base-pairing, i.e. permitting non-standard base-pairing at the 3rd anti-codon position.
Source: Rfam
GGUUGUAUGGUGUAGUGGUUAGCACCGAGGAUUUUGAUUCCUCUGACCCGGGUUCGACUCCCGGUACGACCU